ACAGAGCAAUGAUUGUCCAAACGCAAUUCUUGCACAAAUCAUCGACGCAAAAUCGACAAGAACUGUGUUCGGACAUCAGUGCCUGG
Macrostomum lignano is the source of this 86-nucleotide non-coding RNA. Lineage: Eukaryota; Metazoa; Platyhelminthes; Macrostomidae. The record is from Rfam.